GUGAUUAUUAUAUAAUUUUAAUUACCAAAAAAGAAGGAAGUAGGAACUACCCUUCUUUAGUCCACUGUAAACCUGUAAUAUGUUCACAAUGGAUAACCAAAAGUACAAGCAGCUGAAGCUACAAAGAAAAAGAGGGGUAAUAUCCGAGCAAUUUGAUCAUUAGGCCAUAUCCUUGGAUGCAUUUGAAUAUAUAACUUGAUGUACCUGACCUGAAUUUAGUAACAAUCUUUCAUUUCAUUAAAAGAGACAGAUUUAGAUCGAGCAAUUUAGCAGAUUAUUGAUUGUUCUUGUUCUAGACAAUUAAACCGAAACAGUAUAAAAUAACAUAUUUUUACAAAGGAGAAAAAGGUGAAGCAACUCACAGCGGAAUAUCGCCGGAGGAGACGCGGUCUUGUCCGGUUUGAUGCAUUUGCCUGCUCCUACUGUUCUUCUUAUCUGCUAAAAGAGCACACAAACUCAACACAGCCAAAC
Molecule: long non-coding RNA, 471 nt
Filed under: Nicotiana benthamiana
Lineage: Eukaryota; Viridiplantae; Streptophyta; Magnoliopsida; Solanales; Solanaceae
Description: long non-coding RNA (NBEN_LNC035035)
Source: RNAcentral